RNAcentral lists this ribosomal RNA (253 nucleotides) under uncultured bacterium. Its description in RNAcentral is "partial 16S ribosomal RNA". It matches the Rfam family "Bacterial small subunit ribosomal RNA", at positions 524 to 776 of the family's 1533-position model. The record is from RNAcentral.
UACGUAGGGUGCAAGCGUUGUCCGGAAUUAUUGGGCGUAAAGAGCUCGUAGGCGGUUUGUCGCGUCUGCUGUGAAAACUCGGGGCUCAACUCCGAGCUUGCAGUCGAUACGGGCAGGCUAGAGUUCGGCAGGGGAGACUGGAAUUCCUGGUGUAGCGGUGAAAUGCGCGGAUAUCAGGAGGAACACCGGUGGCGAAGGCGGGUCUCUGGGCCGAUACUGACGCUGAGGAGCGAAAGCGUGGGGAGCGAACAGG